AGCAGCCGCGGUAAUUCCAGCUCCAAUAGCGUAUAUUAAAGUUGUUGCAGUUAAAAAGCUCGUAGUUGAAUUUCGGGAUUAAUAUGUUGGUCGUGCCUUGGUACGUACUGGCAUUAUUGAUUCCUACCUUCUGAAGAACCUCGAUGUCAUUAAUUUGGUGUCUUGGGGAAUCAGGACUGUUACUUUGAAAAAAUUAGAGUGUUUAAAGCAGGCUCGCGCUUGAAUACAUUAGCAUGGAAUAAUGAAAUAGGACGUUUGAUUCUAUUUUGUUGGUUUCUAGGAUCGACGUAAUGAUUAAUAGGGAUAGUUGGGGGCAUUAGUAUUCAAUUGUCAGAGGUGAAAUUCUUGGAUUUAUUGAAGACUGACUACUGCGAAAGCAUUUGCCAAGGAUGUUUUCAUUAAUCAAGAACGAAAGUUAGGGGAUCGAAGACGAUCAGAUACCGUCGUAGUCUUAACCAUAAACUAUGCCGACUAGGGAUCGGAUGAUGUUAAUUUUUUAAUGACUCAUUCGGCGCCUUACG
This 521-nucleotide ribosomal RNA is filed under the name uncultured Glomeraceae. RNAcentral describes it as "SSU rRNA". It matches the Rfam family "Eukaryotic small subunit ribosomal RNA", at positions 569 to 1092 of the family's 1831-position model. Lineage: Eukaryota; Fungi; Glomeromycota; Glomeromycetes; Glomerales; Glomeraceae. The record is from RNAcentral.